Pelobates cultripes (western spadefoot toad) is the source of this 385-nucleotide non-coding RNA. NCBI's taxonomy places the organism in Eukaryota, Metazoa, Chordata, Amphibia, Anura, Pelobatidae. The record is from the annotation of a GenBank genome assembly.
AUGCUUGGGACAAUUGUAAAACCAUGGCCGCGGUCUGUGCACAAGAGCAAGGAGGCGGUAUGCGUCCCAUAGCAUUCUUUUCCAAAGUAGUUCGAGCUCCGGUACAGGGUAUGCUGGCGUGUCUCAGAGCAUUGAUAGCAUGUGCAAUGGCUGUUGAAACUGCUACUACUAUCACACUAGGGCAUCCUACAAUACUUCAUGCAAGUCACCAGGUCACUCAGCUGACAAAUCUCACCACACAACACAUGACAGCCCAGCGCUUCAGUGGUUAUGAGAUUCUUUUUUUUAAUACCCAGAAUCUGUCUUUUGGAUUAAACAAGGUUUAGAGAAAGAUCAAAAUGAUCUGUUCUCUAAAGAGGGGAGAAUAGGCAUACUUGAAGAAUAG